GUUAGUUUCAAGCUGUGCAAUGCAGCUCAAAGUGGAAUUUAUUAAUUUCUUCGCCAAUUUUAUCUAAAGAAGCUAACAAUAUCAACAACAACAAGAGUAGUAAAAUAGAAAUUGACAAUGAAUCUUGGAACACUGAAAAAAAAAAAAAGAAAAUUGAGAUUAAGAAGAAAAUGCCAAUGUGCUAAACCUAAAGGAUUUUCAUCAAAAGAGCCCAUUUCUCUUUAUGGAAAG
Molecule: long non-coding RNA, 231 nt
Filed under: Mustela putorius furo (domestic ferret)
Lineage: Eukaryota; Metazoa; Chordata; Mammalia; Carnivora; Mustelidae
Description: lncRNA (ENSMPUG00000030439.1)
Source: RNAcentral